GACAAGCGACUGUACAGUUUGUUAUUGAGACGAUAGCCCUGAGGAUAGGAGAGAGAAUCAUGAGUCACCUUCCAAACAGGUUUGAACUGGUGUGAGAUAAUGGUACAAACAUAUUUUAGAAACUGGUCUAAACUAGCCUGUAAGAAAGAGUGGUAGGUGUGGAUUCAAAAAAAGACCGUCACAUGCUAAGGAGAAAGGGAGCUGGACUAACAAGAAACUGUGGCUGCAACUGCCUGCGAAACAAAUACCAUGAGGAUUCACUAUGGAGGCAGCUUUGCCCAAAGAAGAAGGUCAGAGACAGAACUUUGCAGCCAUGCUGCAAACUGACUUUGCAAUGAGUGACAAGUAUGGUGCAGUAAAUCGUUGGUGGAAUAUUUAUGAGAAGGAAAACUGACUUCUGACCAUAAGGAUGGCAGAAGCAGCGCAGAAGGAAUAACCUAGACCCUGGCUGAAAGGCAGAGAGAAAGCCUGAAGAUGAGGCAAAAGACUAGAUUUGGUGACAAAAACAACUUUGAAUUUCUCUUCCCUUUCAAUAACUUGCAGUUCAUACAGUCAAUGAUGACUGCUGUAUUUGAGAGAGUUCAUUUCCUGUAUUGAUGGCCAAAGGAUUUAACUGAGUCUACAAGACCAAGAAAUUAUGCUAAGUAAAAAUGCAUUAGCAACUCUUGUGUACAGCAAACAAUUCUGGAAGCAACACAUUUUUCAGGAUGAGGGAAUAAUUCAAGUCACUCAUAGAAACUGACUGCAGGACUCUGAGUCGCCUAAAAGAUGAGGGAGUGGAUUUAUGUUUGUCUAGGUAUAGCUGAAUCACUUGAAUCCCACUCAUUGCCUCAAGGAAGAAAGGUUAUUCUGCAGAAUGGCUCAUCCCGGUAGGUGGGAUAGAACCAAUAAUUUUAUUUGUUCUGAGUCUAUAGUGCACUUCAUCCCAAAGAAUUCCAGAGCCUUCAGAUAAACUCUACAAAGGAAUCCCAGCCUCUGUAAAAGUGCUGUGGCAUGAGUCCAAAGCACUGCCUUUUACAGUAGUGUUAUUGCAGUGGGGGGAGGGAUAGCUCAGUGGUUUGAGGAUUGGCCUGCUAAACCCAUCGUUGUGAGUUCACAUUUAGGGAUCUGGAGCAAAAAUCUAUCUGGGGAUUGGUCCUGCUUUGAGACUAGAUGACCUCCUGAGGUCCCUUCCAAUCCUGAUAUUCUAUGAAGGAGGAAUUUUAGGCCAGGACUAACCCAUCAGAGGCACUGUAAUUUCUACUAUUACACAGAAAGUGUCUAGAGAGCUCUGCUGUCCCUGUGAGAUGCCUGGUUUGGAGGUUUCCUCUUCAAACCAUUAUCAAGAAAACAGCAUGAAACUCAUCUGCUUUGAAAAAACAAAGGUCUGAGCUGACCCCAUGGAGAUUUGAACUCAUGAUUUAAGGAAAUCUAUUGUAAGUACUUCAUACUUGAUGCUUAGAUCACAAAAUUACUGUAAACAAUAAAGAACACAAGGAGGCAAUAGAAACAUAACAAACUUCUGUAAUAGUCUGCUCCUUUGGGCUUAGCAAUAGGAACUGGGACAAGAACAGGAGCUUACCCCUUUCUAAGCAAAGCUGCCAUUUCUCUGUUCCUAACCCAACUCCAAUUUAGCAUUCCCUAGUCAUACAACCCAGUAGAGUGCCCUAGUUCUCAGUGCUGCACCAUGAACUGUGGAAUAUGUGCUGCUGGUUUGCAGAGAUCACACUUCUCAAAACGGCUAAGUGAGGGGUGAAGUGCUGUGAUCUCCCCAGAGACUUCUUAGGUAGGGAUCAAAAUGGGAAGAGCUCAUGUUGUGUGGGAAGUGUCAUCUUAAUGCUGCAUUUCCUGUUUUUCUCAUGUAGUGCUACAUGUCUUGUAGAGGACCUUAGCGCUGCAUUUCUUGGUUUCUCAGAUGUUUUGGGAAUUAUCACAUUCUGAAAGGGUACAAGGAGCACAGGCAGAGCUGAGUUACUACAACCUUAACUCCAUGUUAAAGAUUUUUGCUUAUGAAAUUGUGUUUGGUGCCCAUUGGAUGCUGAUAGUCACAUUUGCUAUUGCACACUUCUGAAAAAGUGUUACUGUGAAAUGCCUAAUAAAAAGUUACUAACGUGAUCAGGGAAGAGGAAAAAUAAGCAGAAUGUUUGGCUGCCUAUUUAAUAAAAUAUGAGAACCCAAUUAAACUAGCUGGGUAUAAGCAAUAAAAAAAUGAAGCUGACAGAUAAGCAAGGUGUGCAUUUAAAUCCAUUAAGAGAAUGAAGCUAUUCUUUACAGUCACUGAAACCAGUGACAGAAACACCUGUCUGAGGUAAGCCAGUACUCCGCAAUACUUCACAGUGAUCUUAUGAGAAAAGCUGCUGUCCUAAUUGAUUAUUAACUAGUAAAUUCCUGCACAAAGUGUUCUAAUGCAAAACUCAACUUUCUCUCCCCACCCUCCAGAUUCAGUAAUGAAGAUGCAAAUUGUUGUUUAAUAUUCAACUGCUGCUUCCUGUGAAGGUAUAUCUCACAAGAAUUAACUUACCUUUAAAUGCAACACCUUAUUAAAUAGUGUAGAUGUAUGGUAUUGUGAAUGGAAUUUCUGGCCAAGGAUGAAAACCAUGAUCUGACUGCAUACCUGUUUACAAUGAUAUGCACAAGUAUGAUGGGUUAAAGGAUUUACCUGAGGCCAGACUGACAUCCAUAAGAUAUUUAAGUAUUUUUGUUUUUAAAUUAACCCUUUUAUUAUUAGUAUUUGCACUUCUGAUAGUGAAAGCAUAACAGAUUUAUGUUGUUUUACAUUGUUUUAAAAUAUUUUUCUGUUAGGAUACCUAGUUGUAAACUGUUAUUUGCUUGCAAGACUAGCAAAUGGAACUUCCGGAUCUGAAAAAUAAAUUGCUAUAACAGCUGGUAUAAAGAUUAUACAGGAUUAAGUAGAGCACAUUUAUUUUCAGCUAUGUUUUUGCUAUGAACUAGAAAAGUGCAGACAAACCUUGACUACCCUGUAGGCCUAAAGACAACUUUGUUAGUUAGUGUUUAUACCAACCCCACUCUUGGUGUAGUGUAUUGACAUAACUCACUUUAAAAACAACUGUGUAAAUAAAGCACUGCAAUUGA
This is a long non-coding RNA of Malaclemys terrapin pileata, 3072 nucleotides long. RefSeq lists it as uncharacterized. The record is from RefSeq and is a predicted model, not a curated record. The transcript is spliced from 2 exons. NCBI's taxonomy places the organism in Eukaryota, Metazoa, Chordata, Testudines, Emydidae.